AUUGAACGCUGGCGGCAGGCUUAACACAUGCAAGUCGAACGAGUGGCGGACGGGUGAGUAAUGCGUGGGAAUCUGGCUGAUGGAGGGGGCUAACGACUGGACACUGUAGCUAAUACCGCGUACCCUAGGAUGAGCCCACGUGGGAUUAGGUAGGUGGUGGGGUAAUGGCCUACCAAGCAGACCAACUCUAGCUGGUCUGAGAGGAUGACCAGCCACACGUGGACUGAGAAACGGCCCUGAAUCCUACGGGAGGCAGCAGUGGGGAAUAUUGCGCAAUGGGGGCAACCGGACGCAGCCAUGCCGCGUGAAUGAAGAAGGCCUUAGGGUUGUAAAGUCCUUUCGGUGACGAGGCGUUAAUAACAGAAGAAGCACCGGCUAACUCCGUGCCAGCAGCCGCGGUAAUUC
Molecule: ribosomal RNA, 405 nt
Filed under: uncultured bacterium
Lineage: Bacteria
Description: partial 16S ribosomal RNA
Rfam family: Bacterial small subunit ribosomal RNA
Source: RNAcentral